Molecule: long non-coding RNA, 814 nt
Organism: Panthera uncia (snow leopard)
Lineage: Eukaryota; Metazoa; Chordata; Mammalia; Carnivora; Felidae
Exons: 3
Source: RefSeq, a predicted model, not a curated record
UUUGCACUUUUUGCUCUAUCAUUAUCAUGCCCAUGGGAUUUAGCCUAGAUGCCUGACAUUGAUUAAAACCACUGAAGUCUCAAGGAGCCUGGGUGGCUCAGUCUGCUAAGUAUCUGACCUCAGCUCAGGUUAUGAUCUCACAAUUCAUGGGGUCAGGCUCCACAUCGAACUCUAUGCUGACAGCCUGGAGCCUGGAACCUACUUCGGAUUCUGUGUCUCCUAUCUCUCUGCCCACCCAUCCCCCUCAAAAUAAAUAAACAUUAAAAAAAAACACUGAAGACUCAAGAAGUUAAAUAGGGCAGGAAGAUGAGUAAUGUAAAAUAAGUUAUGAUUUGGAACCUCAGUUCCCACAUAUACAGAGGGAGAAGAAUAGAGUUGUAAGGAGAGUUCAACAAGGAAACAUAUCAAAGUAUCUGGCCUGCUGUAGGUGAUGGGAAAGUCCAUUUCUUUGUCAAGAUGGAGGAAAGAUUGUGAAGGGUCAUCUACCUCCAAUUUAGAGAGACGUACAAUCAGAGGUUAUGAAGGCAACCCGAGUCAGAGAAAAGCAAGCAACCUAGAAAAAUGAGUAAAGGAUCUGAUCAAGAACUGAAAUACAAUGACCAGUAAGUAUAAGAUUUCUAUCUCAUUAAAAAUAAAAAUAAAUGCAAAUUAAAAUGAGGAACCAUAUUUACUUUACCACUUAAUGUUUGAUGACACACAAAGUUGGUGAUGAUUCUAUUGCUGUUAGAAUAAAUCAGUACACACUUUUUUGAGGGACAGUUCAGCUAUCAUCUUUAAAAUUUUUUUUAAAUGCACAUAUACUGACUCAGAAAAU